GGGUUGUGAGGUUAAGCGACUAAGCGUACACGGUGGAUGCCCUGGCAGUCAGAGGCGAUGAAGGACGUGCUAAUCUGCGAUAAGCGUCGGUAAGGUGAUAUGAACCGUUAUAACCGGCGAUUUCCGAAUGGGGAAACCCAGUGUGUUUCGACACACUAUCAUUAACUGAAUCCAUAGGUUAAUGAGGCGAACCGGGGGAACUGAAACAUCUAAGUACCCCGAGGAAAAGAAAUCAACCGAGAUUCCCCCAGUAGCGGCGAGCGAACGGGGAGGAGCCCAGAGCCUGAAUCAGUGUGUGUGUUAGUGGAAGCGUCUGGAAAGGCGCGCGAUACAGGGUGACAGCCCCGUACACAAAAAUGCACAUAUUGUGAGCUCGAUGAGUAGGGCGGGACACGUGGUAUCCUGUCUGAAUAUGGGGGGACCAUCCUCCAAGGCUAAAUACUCCUGACUGACCGAUAGUGAACCAGUACCGUGAGGGAAAGGCGAAAAGAACCCCGGCGAGGGGAGUGAAAAAGAACCUGAAACCGUGUACGUACAAGCAGUGGGAGCCUCUUUUAUGGGGUGACUGCGUACCUUUUGUAUAAUGGGUCAGCGACUUAUAUUCUGUAGCAAGGUUAACCGAAUAGGGGAGCCGAAGGGAAACCGAGUCUUAACUGGGCGUUAAGUUGCAGGGUAUAGACCCGAAACCCGGUGAUCUAGCCAUGGGCAGGUUGAAGGUUGGGUAACACUAACUGGAGGACCGAACCGACUAAUGUUGAAAAAUUAGCGGAUGACUUGUGGCUGGGGGUGAAAGGCCAAUCAAACCGGGAGAUAGCUGGUUCUCCCCGAAAGCUAUUUAGGUAGCGCCUCGUGAACUCAUCUCCGGGGGUAGAGCACUGUUUCGGCAAGGGGGUCAUCCCGACUUACCAACCCGAUGCAAACUGCGAAUACCGGAGAAUGUUAUCACGGGAGACACACGGCGGGUGCUAACGUCCGUCGUGAAGAGGGAAACAACCCAGACCGCCAGCUAAGGUCCCAAAGUCAUGGUUAAGUGGGAAACGAUGUGGGAAGGCCCAGACAGCCAGGAUGUUGGCUUAGAAGCAGCCAUCAUUUAAAGAAAGCGUAAUAGCUCACUGGUCGAGUCGGCCUGCGCGGAAGAUGUAACGGGGCUAAACCAUGCACCGAAGCUGCGGCAGCGACGCUGAUGCGUUGUUGGGUAGGGGAGCGUUCUGUAAGCCUGUGAAGGUGUGCUGUGAGGCAUGCUGGAGGUAUCAGAAGUGCGAAUGCUGACAUAAGUAACGAUAAAGCGGGUGAAAAGCCCGCUCGCCGGAAGACCAAGGGUUCCUGUCCAACGUUAAUCGGGGCAGGGUGAGUCGACCCCUAAGGCGAGGCCGAAAGGCGUAGUCGAUGGGAAACAGGUUAAUAUUCCUGUACUUGGUGUUACUGCGAAGGGGGGACGGAGAAGGCUAUGUUGGCCGGGCGACGGUUGUCCCGGUUUAAGCGUGUAGGCUGGUUUUCCAGGCAAAUCCGGAAAAUCAAGGCUGAGGCGUGAUGACGAGGCACUACGGUGCUGAAGCAACAAAUGCCCUGCUUCCAGGAAAAGCCUCUAAGCAUCAGGUAACAUCAAAUCGUACCCCAAACCGACACAGGUGGUCAGGUAGAGAAUACCAAGGCGCUUGAGAGAACUCGGGUGAAGGAACUAGGCAAAAUGGUGCCGUAACUUCGGGAGAAGGCACGCUGAUAUGUAGGUGAAGUCCCUCGCGGAUGGAGCUGAAAUCAGUCGAAGAUACCAGCUGGCUGCAACUGUUUAUUAAAAACACAGCACUGUGCAAACACGAAAGUGGACGUAUACGGUGUGACGCCUGCCCGGUGCCGGAAGGUUAAUUGAUGGGGUCAGCGCAAGCGAAGCUCUUGAUCGAAGCCCCGGUAAACGGCGGCCGUAACUAUAACGGUCCUAAGGUAGCGAAAUUCCUUGUCGGGUAAGUUCCGACCUGCACGAAUGGCGUAAUGAUGGCCAGGCUGUCUCCACCCGAGACUCAGUGAAAUUGAACUCGCUGUGAAGAUGCAGUGUACCCGCGGCAAGACGGAAAGACCCCGUGAACCUUUACUAUAGCUUGACACUGAACAUUGAGCCUUGAUGUGUAGGAUAGGUGGGAGGCUUAGAAGUGUGGACGCCAGUCUGCAUGGAGCCGACCUUGAAAUACCACCCUUUAAUGUUUGAUGUUCUAACGUUGACCCGUGAUCCGGGUUGCGGACAGUGUCUGGUGGGUAGUUUGACUGGGGCGGUCUCCUCCUAAAGAGUAACGGAGGAGCACGAAGGUUGGCUAAUCCUGGUCGGACAUCAGGAGGUUAGUGCAAUGGCAUAAGCCAGCUUGACUGCGAGCGUGACGGCGCGAGCAGGUGCGAAAGCAGGUCAUAGUGAUCCGGUGGUUCUGAAUGGAAGGGCCAUCGCUCAACGGAUAAAAGGUACUCCGGGGAUAACAGGCUGAUACCGCCCAAGAGUUCAUAUCGACGGCGGUGUUUGGCACCUCGAUGUCGGCUCAUCACAUCCUGGGGCUGAAGUAGGUCCCAAGGGUAUGGCUGUUCGCCAUUUAAAGUGGUACGCGAGCUGGGUUUAGAACGUCGUGAGACAGUUCGGUCCCUAUCUGCCGUGGGCGCUGGAGAACUGAGGGGGGCUGCUCCUAGUACGAGAGGACCGGAGUGGACGCAUCACUGGUGUUCGGGUUGUCAUGCCAAUGGCACUGCCCGGUAGCUAAAUGCGGAAGAGAUAAGUGCUGAAAGCAUCUAAGCACGAAACUUGCCCCGAGAUGAGUUCUCCCUGACCCUUUAAGGGUCCUGAAGGAACGUUGAAGACGACGACGUUGAUAGGCCGGGUGUGUAAGCGCAGCGAUGCGUUGAGCUAACCGGUACUAAUGAACCGUGAGGCUUAACCUUACAACGCCGAAGCUGUU
Molecule: ribosomal RNA, 2930 nt
Filed under: Escherichia coli
Lineage: Bacteria; Pseudomonadati; Pseudomonadota; Gammaproteobacteria; Enterobacterales; Enterobacteriaceae
Description: 23S ribosomal RNA
Rfam family: Bacterial large subunit ribosomal RNA
Source: RNAcentral